CGCGUAGGCGGUUCGCUAAGUCGGAUGUGAAAACUCUGGGCUCAACCCAGAGCCUGCAUCCGAAACUGGCGGGCUGGAGUUCUGGAGGGGGUAGCGGAAUUCCUGGUGUAGCGGUGAAAUGCGUAGAUAUCAGGAGGAACACCGGUGGCGAAGGCGGCUACCUGGACAGAAACUGACGCUGAGGCGCGAAAGCUAGGGGAGCGAACAGGAUUAGAUACCCUGGUAGUCCUAGCCCUAAACGAUGGAUACUUGGUGUGACUGGGAUUGAAUCCAGUCGUGCCGAAGCUAACGCAUUAAGUAUCCCGCCUGGGGAGUACGGUCGCAAGGCUGAA
This 332-nucleotide ribosomal RNA is filed under the name uncultured bacterium. RNAcentral's name for it is "bacterial SSU rRNA". It matches the Rfam family "Bacterial small subunit ribosomal RNA", at positions 568 to 898 of the family's 1533-position model. The record is from RNAcentral.